AGAGUUUGAUCCUGGCUCAGGAUGAACGCUAGCGGCAGGCUUAACACAUGCAAGUCGAGGGGCAGCAUGGGGAGUAGCAAUACUCUCUGAUGGCGACCGGCGCAAGGGUGCGUAACGCGUGAGCAACUUGCCCUCAUCAGGGGAAUAAUCGCUGGAAACGGCGUCUAAUGCCCCAUGGCGAUGGAAUCAGGCAUCUGGUUCCAUCUAAAGAUCCGUCGGAUGAGGAUAGGCUCGCGUGACAUUAGCUUGACGGCGGGGUAACGGCCCACCGUGGCGACGAUGUCUAGGGGUUCUGAGAGGAAGGUCCCCCACACUGGAACUGAGACACGGUCCAGACUCCUACGGGAGGCAGCAGUGAGGAAUAUUGGUCAAUGGCCGGAAGGCUGAACCAGCCAUGCCGCGUGAAGGUCAGUGCCCUAUGGGCGUUAAACUUCUUUUGUGCGGGAGCAAUAAGGUCCACGUGUGGACCGACGAGAGUACCGUACGAAUAAGCAUCGGCUAACUCCGUGCCAGCAGCCGCGGUAAUACGGGGGAUGCAAGCGUUAUCCGGAUUUAUUGGGUUUAAAGGGUGCGUAGGCUGUGAGGUAAGUCAGCGGUGAAAUGCCCCCGCUCAACGGGGUGAAGUGCCAUUGAUACUGCCUUGCUGGAAUGCGGAUGCCGUGGGAGGAAUGUGUGGUGUAGCGGUGAAAUGCAUAGAUAUCACACAGAACACCGAUUGCGAAGGCAUCUCACGAAUCCGCGAUUGACGCUGAUGCACGAAAGCGUGGGUAUCAAACAGGAUUAGAUACCCUGGUAGUCCACGCUGUAAACGAUGAUGACUAACCGUCGGCGAUACACAGUCGGUGGCCAAGCGAAAGCGAUAAGUCAUCCACCUGGGGAGUACGGCCGCAAGGCUGAAACUCAAAGGAAUUGACGGGGGCCCGCACAAGCGGAGGAACAUGUGGUUUAA
Molecule: ribosomal RNA, 949 nt
Filed under: Bacteroidales bacterium
Lineage: Bacteria; Pseudomonadati; Bacteroidota; Bacteroidia; Bacteroidales
Also listed under: 2 other names
Description: bacterial SSU rRNA
Rfam family: Bacterial small subunit ribosomal RNA
Source: RNAcentral